RNAcentral lists this ribosomal RNA (498 nucleotides) under uncultured bacterium. RNAcentral's name for it is "partial 16S ribosomal RNA". It matches the Rfam family "Bacterial small subunit ribosomal RNA", at positions 30 to 523 of the family's 1533-position model. The record is from RNAcentral.
AUUGAACGCUGGCGGCAUGCCUUACACAUGCAAGUCGAACGGUAACAGAUCUUCGGAUGCUGACGAGUGGCGAACGGGUGAGUAAUACAUCGGAACGUGCCCGAUCGUGGGGGAUAACGAAGCGAAAGCUUUGCUAAUACCGCAUACGAUCUACGGAUGAAAGCAGGGGACCGCAAGGCCUUGCGCGAACGAAGCGGCCGAUGGCAGAUUAGGUAGUUGGUGGGAUAAAAGCUUACCAAGCCGACGAUCUGUAGCUGGUCUGAGAGGACGACCAGCCACACUGGGACUGAGACACGGCCCAGACUCCUACGGGAGGCAGCAGUGGGGAAUUUUGGACAAUGGGCGAAAGCCUGAUUCAGCCAUGCCGCGUGCAGGAUGAAGGCCUUCGGGUUGUAAACUGCUUUUGUACGGAACGAAAAGACUCUGGUUAAUACCUGGGGUCCAUGACGGUACCGUAAGAAUAAGCACCGGCUAACUACGUGCCAGCCGCCGCCGUAA